GGUUCUAUGGCGUAAAGGUUAGCACUCUGGACUUUAAAUACAACGAUCCAAGUUCAAAUCUCGGUAGAACCU
This 72-nucleotide transfer RNA is filed under the name Lingula anatina. It matches the Rfam family "tRNA". Rfam says of the family: Transfer RNA (tRNA) molecules are approximately 80 nucleotides in length. Their secondary structure includes four short double-helical elements and three loops (D, anti-codon, and T loops). The record is from Rfam by way of RNAcentral. Lineage: Eukaryota; Metazoa; Brachiopoda; Lingulata; Lingulida; Lingulidae.